Molecule: non-coding RNA, 670 nt
Organism: Maylandia zebra (zebra mbuna)
Lineage: Eukaryota; Metazoa; Chordata; Actinopteri; Cichliformes; Cichlidae
Source: RefSeq, a predicted model, not a curated record
CAUUUAUGGAGGCUGCUGAGUCUGAAUGUUGGAUGUUGUGUAUCUCGUGUUCUCUGGGUUUUGUUGUCCUCAGUCUUUUCGCAGGAUCAGAAAACAAAACCAGGAGGCGCGUAAAUGUUUCUUCUCCAUGAUGUUUCUUCAAAUGUUUCUUCUGGAUGAUGAUAAGACUAUGACACAGGAUGCCACCUUUGGUCUUAUGGUGAAGCAAAGCUCAGGAAGAAGUGGGAUUAAAUGGUACCCACAUGUGUGCUGCUGAGAAGGAUGUACAGGGGCACCUGCAGCCAAAUCCAAGCCUCAGAGCGGCAGUUUGUGCUCACAGAUGGUGACGGUGUGGAGAGACGGUGGUGUUUCCUCAGAAGAACCAGCAGAGUCACUCGCUGACUGAUGCUCAUCUGCACUGCACAGAGGAAAUCAACUGACCGAGGAGUGUUUCUGAGUGAGGGGGAGAGGAGUCAUCAUCCAGGUAAAGUGACGUAGAUCAGUGGAUACACUUGUCUCCCCUUUAAAGGAGACGAUCCAAGUCAUCCUUAAAUGUUAGUGCUUUCAAAUACACAAACAUUUUUAAAGGACAAAAAUGAACAUCCAACUUUGACUGUAACACAAAAUAAAUCUUUGCAUGUGUGUUUUCAAACUCUCAGAUGGGCAGCAUAUCAGUCUUGGACUGUCUAAC